UAGGAAAUAGUAUAAUUGGAAGUACUAAGAGUUUUGAUCUCUUAGGUACGGGUUCGAAUCCUGUUUUUCUAA
RNAcentral lists this transfer RNA (72 nucleotides) under Hypanus longus (longtail stingray). Its description in RNAcentral is "tRNA-Gln". It matches the Rfam family "tRNA". From Rfam's summary of the family: Transfer RNA (tRNA) molecules are approximately 80 nucleotides in length. The record is from RNAcentral. Lineage: Eukaryota; Metazoa; Chordata; Chondrichthyes; Myliobatiformes; Dasyatidae.